This 446-nucleotide ribosomal RNA is filed under the name uncultured bacterium. RNAcentral's name for it is "partial 16S ribosomal RNA". It matches the Rfam family "Bacterial small subunit ribosomal RNA", at positions 338 to 795 of the family's 1533-position model. The record is from RNAcentral.
CCUACGGGGAGCAGCAGUCGAGCAUCAUUCACAAUGGGGGAAACCCUGAUGGUGCGACACCGCGUGGGGGAAUGAAGGUCUUCGGAUUGUAAACCCCUGUCAUGUGGGAGCAAAUUAAAAAGAUAGUACCACAAGAGGAAGAGACGGCUAACGCUGUGCCAGCAACCGCGGUAAUACAGAGGUCUCAAGCGUUGUUCGGAAUCACUGGGCGUAAAGCGUGCGUAGGCUGUUUCGUAAGUCGUGGGUGAAAGGCGCGGGCUCAACCCGCGGACGGCACAUGAUACUGCGAGACUAGAGUAAGGGAGGGGGAACCGGAAUGCUCGGUGUAGCAGUGAAAUGCGUAGAUAUCGAGAGGAACACUCGUGGCGAAGGCGGGUUCCUGGACAUUAACGGACGCUGAGGCACGAAGGCCAGGGGAGCGAAAGGGAUUAGAUACCCUUGUAGUC